AUGGCGACUCCGGCGUUCAUCUCGCCUCCCCUCGUCUUCCUCCUCCUCCUCGUGUCCUUCACAGCCUGCACCGACGCGACUGUCUUCUUCAUCAAGAACCAGUGCCCCUUCACGUUCGUCAAGAACGCCACCGACGGCAGGAUAUGGGCACGCACCCGCUGCUCUUUCGACCCUUCCACCGGCCGCGGGGGCUGCGAGACCGGCGACUGCGAUGGCGUGCUGCUCUGCGUCGUCGCUAGGAAGCCGUCCAUGACGCUGGCCGAGUUCACCAUCGGGUACGGCGGCGCCCCGGGCAGGUACGACAUCUCGGUGGCGUACGGCUUCAACGUGCCCAUGGACCUGUCCUGCAGCGAUGCCAACGUGAUCCGAUGCAGGGACGCAGACUGCCCCGACGGCAUCCACGGCUAA
RNAcentral lists this ribosomal RNA (408 nucleotides) under Triticum aestivum (bread wheat). RNAcentral's name for it is "partial small subunit ribosomal RNA". Lineage: Eukaryota; Viridiplantae; Streptophyta; Magnoliopsida; Poales; Poaceae. The record is from RNAcentral.